GACGAACGCUGGCGGCGUGCUUAACACAUGCAAGUCGAGCGGUAAGGCCCUUUCGGGGUACGACGAGCGGCGAACGGGUGAGUAACACGUGGGUGGACCUGCCCUCAGCUCUGGGAGUAAGCCUGGGAAACCGGGGUCUAAUACCGGAUAUGACUCCAUGACGCAUGUUGUGGGGUGGAAAGCCUUGUGCGGCUGAGGAUGGGCCCGCGGCCUAUCAGCUUGUUGGGUGGGG
This 232-nucleotide ribosomal RNA is filed under the name uncultured bacterium. RNAcentral's name for it is "partial 16S ribosomal RNA". It matches the Rfam family "Bacterial small subunit ribosomal RNA", at positions 28 to 258 of the family's 1533-position model. The record is from RNAcentral.